This 71-nucleotide transfer RNA is filed under the name Culex quinquefasciatus (southern house mosquito). It matches the Rfam family "tRNA". From Rfam's summary of the family: Transfer RNA (tRNA) molecules are approximately 80 nucleotides in length. Their secondary structure includes four short double-helical elements and three loops (D, anti-codon, and T loops). Further hydrogen bonds mediate the characteristic L-shaped molecular structure. tRNAs have two regions of fundamental functional importance: the anti-codon, which is responsible for specific mRNA codon recognition, and the 3' end, to which the tRNAs corresponding amino acid is attached (by aminoacyl-tRNA synthetases). tRNAs cope with the degeneracy of the genetic code in two manners: having more than one tRNA (with a specific anti-codon) for a particular amino acid; and 'wobble' base-pairing, i.e. permitting non-standard base-pairing at the 3rd anti-codon position. Lineage: Eukaryota; Metazoa; Arthropoda; Insecta; Diptera; Culicidae. The record is from Rfam by way of RNAcentral.
GGACCGAUGGUGUAGUGGUAAGCGUAGUUGCCUUUACCUCAGUUGGACUGGGUUCGAUCCCAGACGGUCCC